Long non-coding RNA from Phyllopteryx taeniolatus (common seadragon), 4907 nucleotides. RefSeq lists it as uncharacterized. Lineage: Eukaryota; Metazoa; Chordata; Actinopteri; Syngnathiformes; Syngnathidae. The transcript has 2 exons. The record is from RefSeq and is a predicted model, not a curated record.
GCUACUUCCCACUGUCCUUUUGACCACCCCCCCCCCUCCCCACCCCGAAUCCACCGACUGAAUCCUGACGCCAGCCGCCUGCCCGCCCGCCUCCUGCCCUUUCCCUCUCGCUCCCUUUCAUCACUCUCUCUCUCCCUCUCACCCUCAUUGUGAGCCGCCACGCUGGUCGCCAUGGGAACCACUCCGGGAUUGGGUGUUGUUCCUGUGACCUCUCUGACAGCUCUCGGGAGUUGGAGGACAAACUUUUUUUUAACCCCGCCACCACCACCACCACCCACUCAUUCACUUCGGCGCUGUUACACGUGACGAAGAAUUACAUCUCGGUAGAAAGAGCAAGCGAAAGAAAGCAAGACGUUUGUAAGAAGCGGCGUGCCUGGUGGCAAAGACAAUAGCUUUAGUGUGUGUGUGUGUGUGCGUGCGUGCGUGCGUGCGUGCGUGCAUGCGUGCGUGCGUGUGUGUGCGCACGCGCGUCGAAAACACACGCGUGCUCGCCAGCAGCUCGGCAUUCAGAAUCGCCCCCGUCGUCCGGCUGGGCCCAUUCGUGGCUCUUUGGCCCGAACGUGAUCACAGCUUUUCAUACUGUGCUACCAAGCGACAUGCGCAUCGGAACGCCGAAAGAAAAAACAAAAACAAACAAAAAAACAAAAACAAACAAAAAAACAAAAACUCAGGUGUGUGGGUUACGCCAAGGUCACGCUGUAAAUAUAAACUUUAGCGAGAAUCAAACUGACGUAGAGACCAUGUCGUAGAAAUACAUUUCACAAGAGAUUCUGUAUGAGGAAAUCCUCACUGGGUAAAUAUAUAAAAAAUAGUCACUUAAGAUAGCAUAGUUUUUUGUUGUUGUUUUUUUUGUUUAGUUUUUUUUAAAGGAUUUUUACAAGGUGGCACAGUGUUCAAGUGGUUAGCACAUCUGCCUCGCAGCCCUGCGAUCGGGGGUGGAAUCUCACCUCCAGCUACUACGACAUAAUACUUCCCUCGCAGCAAGUUUCUCCGCCCAUGACUUAGCAGCAACCGCCACUUUUAAGCGACUGAGCGGUCCGAAAAACAAUAUCAAUUCAUAGCCAAACGGUCAGCUGUGCUGCAUGGAGUUAGCUUCUGAUAAGCGGCACAUACGCGAUACCGCGGCGGAAUUUGUUCGCCAUGCACACGCCUAGAAUAUUGAUCAGCACACUAAUUGACAAGUGGAAUUUGGCGGCCUGUUGACGAAGUGCUGCCUCCACGAGGGAAAAAAAAAUUAGCUGUGCUGUCUUCGUGGGGGUUGCCGGUCGCAGUUGCUUUUUUUCGGUUGUCACAGAAAUGUUAGUACGACAUUUGGGAACUCCAGGCAUUUUCAAUUGUGAGGAAACGUCAUCCAUUUAUGGUGCCCGCUGCACUUGAUGGUAUAUAAAGUGGCAUAUGAAUAAUCUCAUGACGCCAUGUACGUAUAACGACAAGGGCACUCUGGAGGGCAAAGCUUUUUCCCUUCCUGAAGGCCAGUGUAGAGAGAGAGAAAGAGAGAGAGAGAGAGCGAGAGAGAGAGAAAAUCAAGGCUGAAGAGAGAUAACAUAAAAAUAGCACAGCGUGUAAACACAUCUGGCCCAAUUUUAGCAGUCUGACGGCAUUGGCUUCCAAUAAGAGGCGGUCAUUAUAUUUUGUGUCUCCCAUUCAAAUGAAUAAGGAACAGGAAUGUGCUUUUUGAUAUAGUUAUUUGCUGCUUACACUAUGCAGUUACGAGAGAUAAACCCGACUACUGUGUGUCAUUUGUUUUUCAGGCCUAGAAUGAUUAUCCAGCCUUUUUUUUUUCCCCCCCCCCGAGUGCUUGUUGGGCGACAGGUGGGGUACUCCCUGGACCGGUUGCCGGCCAAUCACAGAACCCUGGGGGAAAACAAACUGAGUCCGGAUUUGAACCCAGGACCGCUGGAAUGCAAGGCAGAUGUGCUCAAAGUACCAUCGUGCUGCUACGGAGAUGAUAAUUGAGGUCGCCAGUUCUGAGCUCUCCGAGCCGCUUUCAACAAAACGGCAAUUCCAAAUGACGCAACUGGAGCGUCAGCACCAGUGUUGACGGGCAACUAAUUACAUGCAACGAGAUUAUGAAAUGUAUUUACAAACUGCAAUUGCAAUCUGUUACAUUACUGGCAGAAAUUUCCAUGAUUAGAAUUUUGGUUAAUUAAAAAUGACGACAACAACAACAGCAACAGAAAAUCGCCACAAAGGCUCAGUUUUUGUUUUUCAUAUCACUUCCUCCAUCUAAAGUUGACACUUAUGAUUGGCUCUCUCUGGUCAUGUGCCAUUCGACCACAAUCUCAAACAUGACCUAUUUUUUCUAAAUAGUUGUGGCGCUGUCUAUUAGUUUGUCUGAGAUUUUGAAAAGGUUUGACUCACAGUUAAACCUUUGAACACAUAAAAGAAGAUUGACUUUUGAAGUUUCAUUUUGAUCAUUUUGGACGUUUUUAUGAACAUUCACUUAUCUGGUUUGUCAUAUGAAGCGAUAUUGUCUAAAUUGUGCACAUUUGUCAAUUACGUCAACUUUGGUUUGGCUUUCCACGUUGUACACAUAAAAUGCGAUAAACACAUUUUGAUUAUGUAUUUACAUUUCAUCAUGUUUUGUGAACUGUUUAUUAUGUGUGUAAAAAAAUACAAAUAUGCGGUUUAUUUCAAAAUCAUGAUCUCUGGUUUUAAUCCACUUUUUAGAGGACACAUCCAAGGGUCCUGUUGAUGCAUGAAUUUAAAAAAAAAGUCAUUUUCCCAACACUGGUCGGCACACAUCCUCAGUGACCUCGAGAGGGGAUGACUAACCUGCUCUCCAGCUGACUUGGACGCACUUCAAAAGUGGGAGGGGCAAAAUCUUUGAAAGGCCUCGAGUGUCAGCGCUUUCUUCCAGAGGAAGCGGCGGCUUUUCGAGGUCGAGGCAGCAGUUUGGCCGCCGUUGUUUUGCCACAAAAAUGCAAGGAUGCAGCGGCGGAUAUGUUCCCAGCGUGACAAAUGUUUACACUCGCACACACGCAGACGGACGAUUGUGCUUUAACCCCCGUGGGUUGUUUGAUUUUAAAACCUGAUCGGCUUGCCCGUGGCCAUUUUGGUCCCCAUACAGACAGUCUGUAAUUUAUAAGUUUUUUCAUGUUUUUGCUUUUUUUCUUAGCAUUGAAUUUCCUUCUGAAAAAUCUAUUAGUUUUACUGAUAUGCGUAUGUGGAUUAUUGGCAGUUGCGAUCCAUCAAAUGUCAUCAGAGUUUCUAAGAAAAAUAACAAUUCUGAAAUAAUACUUUUCAAUACUUUUAAUGCCAAAAUGUCUUUACCGUUGGUGUCCGAAAUGAAAUUUCAUGAUUUGCAACAUGUUUUCUAAAGAGACUUAUGAUAUUUUGGGAUAUAGGAUUUUUCUCCUAAUCCUUUAUAUGCAUUUUCCAUGACAACUAACAGAAAUGUAUCUUUGUGUUUUCAAGAGUUCUUUUUUUGUUGCUUCUUUUACAAAUGGUCCUUCUUUGUCACUCAAUGUUGUCUUCAGCGUUAAAGCCACCGGGGAGAUCCUCACUAUUGUGCUCCUCUCUAGCCCUAGAGAGGAACUGAUUAACACCUCACCCCUAAUAAGGUUUAUAAUUGCCUAUAGAGUCCACAAGAUGGCAGCAGAGCACAACAUGAAGCUCCUCAAUUCACUUCAACAAAGUUCCUUGGAAUCAAGAUAACACAAGAUGGGGCUAAAACAAUACAGUACUUUUAUACUCCACAAGGCUUUGCCCUGAACCCCAAAACAGCAAAUAGGUGUUUGUUUUUUUCAGCGAAUAACGGUUUGAGAUUUGAUACUGGUUUCCCCCAAAAAAUCUGCAAAUAGGCGAAUCGGUGAGCAGCGAAUGGCAAAUUCGCGGGGAAAAUAAACCCACUGGACUGACCACCUUGCACCGAAAUUUAACUGUGAUAGGCUCGAGCAGUACAAAAAUGCAAAUUCUCACCUUUUUCGCCAUCACUCGAGAGAUCGCAUGCCGGAUGUUGCAGACAGCGGGCCUGACCUGCAAAUACAACACAGGAAGCCUGUAAUUAGAUGUCAAGAACCCGCGCGGGUUUUUAACGAGGCCGGCCUGCAGUUGUCGUGGACUUCUAACAAACCUCGAGCGGCGUGCCAAACGACAGACGCGGCGGUUCCUGCGUUUUACCCCGAAGACCGACGCAAUCGCUGCACAAAACCCAAUCAGUCUGCGUUGUGUAAGCACGGGGAAUCGAACGCGUGCGGGAGACCAAGAAGGGCCGAGCGUGCGCACGUUGCCAAAGGAGACUGGGAAGGAUAGGUGGAAAAUAAUGUGUGCGUGUGUGGGGGGGGGGGGGGCCUGAUUCAGUGUGGAAGACGGCUGCUUUUUCCACUGCCUAAAUCAAAUUAAUUAGCUCCUUCAUCUCCAGGCUGCUACUCGGGCAUGCUGGCGAAGAGAGCGAGGGGGGCGGGAGGAGGAGAUGGGACAUGGCGGCGGCUUUAGCGAGGAAGGGGGUGUCAAGCGUGCAGUGUAUGUGCGCCAUUGACGAGGACAGGCCGCGAAAAGGAAGGGGGCGGGGUGCGUCAAUUCUCCGAUAAGCACGGGGGUUGUUUUGCUUCGGGAGGAAGUGGCUGCGUGUACUUCCUGUUUCGAGACAGCCUGUACUUUUGAGGCCGCUGUCUUUUUUUGUUUUGCAUCCAUGUCAGAGCCCUCUGGGGGGGGACACACAAAAAAAGACAAAGUACUUAACUAGUGGUUCUUAUUCUCAACAUUUUACACCAAGUGCCACUUACAAAAUAGGCGAUUCAACUCUCUGAGUACCACCAUAAUAGCAACAUUGAAAUAAAAUCUAGGCCCAAAUGUUCAACAAAAACAUGGCAGAGGUUUUAGUCCUAAAAAUUAUUUUAUUGCUAUUGUAACACUGUACACAGUUUAAACAUUAAGGAUAAAAAAAAAUAAAAAAUAAAAUAAAA